UUAUCUUAGUAAAUCAAAAACUUGGACCAAAUCUUGAUAGAGUUUUUCUUCCUUAACAUUAUAGUUGGUAUGAUGGUUGAUAUUGAGUGUCAACUUGAUUGGAUGAAAGGAUGCAAAUUAUAGUUCCUGGGUGUGUCGGUGAGGGUGUUGCGAAAGGAGAUUAACAUUUGAGUUAGUGGACUGGGAGAGGCAGACCCACCCUCGAUCUGGGUGGGGACCAUCUAAUCAGCCGCCAGCACAGCUAGAAAAAAGCAGACAGGAGAGGAUGGAACUGCAGGCCUGCUGAGUCUUUGGCCUUCAUCUUUCUCCCGUGCUGGAUGCUUCCUGACCUCGAACAUCAGACUCCAAGUUCUUCAGCUUUUGGACUGUUUGCCAGAGGCUGUCAGGCCUUCGGCCACAGACUGAAAGGCUGCAGUGUCCGCUUCCCUACUUAUGAGAUUUUGGGACUUGAACUGGCUUCCUGGCUCCUCAGCUCACAAACGGCCUAUUGUGGAACUUCAUUUUGCCAUCCCACUCUGCUUUCCAUAUCCUACCAGGAGGCUUCAAUCUUUAUUGUGACAGCCAUUAAAUUUAUACCAAUACAUGGAAGUAAGUUAUCUGUGAAAAACAUUUCUUCAGUUACAUUUUGUCUUCUUGCCUCCACUAAUAUAAAAGCUUACUGUCAUUUUGUUGAGCCUUUGAAAGAUUUUAGUUAGGGCCUCUCUCCAGAAGGGCAGCUGGAAUUUUACAUGGUGACUCCAGGCUCCAGAAGACUCAGAAGAAGAUGUCAGUCAAUUUUAAGGCUUGGGCCUAAUAUGCAGUCUUCUUCUGGGCCAUCACCUACCUUCUCAGCCUCCUCCACAAAGGCAGAGACAGCAGAUUUCCUCAGUGAACUUCUUCUACUUAUUAAAAAAAAGUAACUGUAAAGCAGCCUCAAGGAGGUCCUUCAGGAGGCAUUCUGGAAGAAAGCAUUAUUGUCAUAGGUGAUGACAGCUCCAUGCAUGUGAUUUCCCCCAAAGACCUUCCAGUGGGACAAGACACAGUGGCAGAAGACAGCAAUUUUAAUGAAGCUAAUCUUGUGAAGGCCUAGGAUAAUGGCCCUGCCUGUGGAUAGUCACCAGUCAACAUUGGCAUCUCAAGGACAAGUUUGCCAAGAUUAGAAGUGCUUAUAUUUUGGGAACACGCUGGCCACUUGCACAUCAGAGAUCUCUGCUAUUAGAGAAAUUAUUUGGGAAUCCCUAGAAUGUUUGUAUGCUAGGCUAUUUCUUUUUGUGUUUAAAAUAUAUGGAACUUUCAAUGGAAGACUUUAAAAAUUACUCUUGUUUUGCCUAUGGCAUAAUACACAGAUAUAGUAAUUUUUAAAACCUUUGGUAAAUAAAGUAAAAAUUAUAAGGAAAACU
This 1379-nucleotide long non-coding RNA is filed under the name Homo sapiens (human). RNAcentral describes it as "HSALNT0252426". Lineage: Eukaryota; Metazoa; Chordata; Mammalia; Primates; Hominidae. The record is from RNAcentral.